Molecule: ribosomal RNA, 434 nt
Filed under: uncultured bacterium
Lineage: Bacteria
Description: partial 16S ribosomal RNA
Rfam family: Bacterial small subunit ribosomal RNA
Source: RNAcentral
GGUGAACGUUGGCGGUGCGUCUAAUACAUGCAAGUCGAGCGAGGCUUCGAGCCGAGCGGCAGACGGCUGAGUAACACGUUGGUAACUACCUCAAACUCAGGGAUAACGCCGAGAAAUCGGUGCUAAUACCGGAUGGUCCCGUAAGGGUAAAGUUUUUACGGUUUGAGAGGUGCCUGCGUCCUAUCAGGUAGUUGGUGAGGUAACGGCUCACCAAGCCUAUGACGGGUAACUGGUCUGAGAGGAUGACCAGUCAGAGGGAAACUGAGACACGGUUCCCACUUCUACGGAAGGCAGCAGUAAAGAAUCUUCCACAAUGGACGAAAGUCUGAUGGAGCGACACCGCGUGCAGGAUGAAGGCCCUUGGGUCGUAAACUGCUUUUUUGGGGGAAAAAUUCUGAUUGUACCCUAAGAAUAAGCACCGGCAAAUCACGUGC